This 230-nucleotide ribosomal RNA is filed under the name uncultured bacterium. Its description in RNAcentral is "partial 16S ribosomal RNA". It matches the Rfam family "Bacterial small subunit ribosomal RNA", at positions 103 to 334 of the family's 1533-position model. The record is from RNAcentral.
CGGGUGAGUAACACGUGGGUGAUCUGCCCUGCACUUUGGGAUAAGCCUGGGAAACUGGGUCUAAUACCGAAUAUGACUCUUGACUGCAUGGUUGGGAGUGGAAAGCUUUUGCGGUGUGGGAUGGGCCCGCGGCCUAUCAGCUUGUUGGUGGGGUCAAGGCCUACCAAGGCGACGACGGGUAGCCGGCCUGAGAGGGUGACCGGCCACACUGGGACUGAGAUACGGCCCAG